Molecule: long non-coding RNA, 1052 nt
Filed under: Gadus morhua (Atlantic cod)
Lineage: Eukaryota; Metazoa; Chordata; Actinopteri; Gadiformes; Gadidae
Description: lncRNA (ENSGMOG00000030560.1)
Source: RNAcentral
ACUUAAGUUUGAUAUUAAAUACACACUGACGCGUACAUCGUACAAUAUGUUGAUAAUUUCCGACUGUUGCGCCGACUUUAACCACGUUGACGGGACUCUCGCUGCGUUCAAAACAGCGUUCUACUUGCGGGCCCAUUUCUGAUCAUCAGUGAAGGCGGAAGAUCAUUUCAAGGUGGAUGACAAUUUGGCAUUUCUUCGACGGAACCCUGCAUAUGGCUGAGUAUAUUUGAUUUAAUAUUGAUACUGCUUAGUGUUCUUUGUUACUUCAGCUUUCAUACGUUCUAAAUAUCUGGUGUCAAUAAUUGCCACAGAAGUAAAACCCUACCCAAUGGAAUGACGUCAAACAACAACUUUGUUGCUUAGUUACCAACUGGAUAAUAACAAAGCUAAAAUAAUGGCCGUCUUUCCCACAUGUUACAGUAGAAGAAACUCUAGAACUGUACAAGGUUAAAAAGGUAACAUUUAGUUUGUCCCAAGGUGUCUGCCUCCUCACCCAGAGCCAGACCUCCACCUCCUCACCCAGAGCCAGACCUCCACCUCCUCACCCAGAGCCAGACCUCCACCUCCUCACCCAGAGCCAGACCUCCACCUCCUCACCCAGAGCCAGACCUCCACCUCCUCACCCAGAGCCAGACCUCCACCUCCUCACCCAGAGCCAGACCUCCACCUCCUGUCAGAAGUCCUCCAGAACAGCUGAAAGGCGAGGCUGAGAGGCUGGGGACCGUCUUGUGGUGCCAGGAUUGACCGAAGACUGAGGCUGGAGACCAGGGGCCUGCAGCACCGGACCAGAGGGAAACCAUCACCAAGCUCAUCUGAAAAACUAAAAUCCUCUGUAGUUUAGGUCUGGUUUUGAUCAUCUUAAAGGGACACUGUGUAAAAAUGACUCCCAUCUAGUGUUACAAUUGUAUAUUGCAUUCAAACUAAUAGUGCUCGCUUGUUCAAAAACUACGGUAGGCAGUAUGUGCCAAGAAGCUGUAGCAUGACAUCCAAUACUACCUCAUCGAGUCAUUCGAGUGAUGAUGAGGUUUGUUAUUUCAAACAAAUUUCAAACU